UACGAAGGGGGCUAGCGUUGCUCGGAAUCAUUGGGCGUAAAGCGCGCGUAGGCGGUUACACAAGUUGGAUGUGAAAGCCCUCGGCUUAACUGAGGAAGUGCAUCCAAAACUGUGCAGCUAGAGUACUAAAGAGGGUCGCGGAAUUCCCGGUGUAGAGGUGAAAUGCGCAGAUAUCAGGAGGAACACCGGUGGCGAAGGCGGGUCUCUGGGCCGAAACUGACGCUGAGGAGCGAAAGCGUGGGGAGCGAACAGG
RNAcentral lists this ribosomal RNA (253 nucleotides) under uncultured bacterium. RNAcentral's name for it is "partial 16S ribosomal RNA". It matches the Rfam family "Bacterial small subunit ribosomal RNA", at positions 524 to 776 of the family's 1533-position model. The record is from RNAcentral.